AAAUAAAAAUCGGGGUUGUUGCUGGUGGUAACGCUUCGGAACUGGAUCAUCUUUGCCUUCGGUUAAGUGACCUAAAAUUUCGGAUGAUUUUUCGAACGUAUUUAAAUUUUUUACGUACGUUUGUAUAUCGAAUAUUAGAUGUGAUCAUUUCCAUGAUUCGCGUCUAUAAUUUUUCAUC
RNAcentral lists this unclassified non-coding RNA (178 nucleotides) under uncultured Glomus. RNAcentral describes it as "sequence contains ITS2". Lineage: Eukaryota; Fungi; Glomeromycota; Glomeromycetes; Glomerales; Glomeraceae. The record is from RNAcentral.